GUAGGGAGACACGGAGAGGCAGUGGGGAUGCCAAGAGAAGGCUGUGCUCAGGAGUCGUCGGCUACCGCGUCCGAGAUCGUGCGAUUAGAGCACACACGUGUAAUCCAGACCGUGGAAUCGGCCAGGUUUUUUUUUCCUGCGGUCCUGCAAAGAAUGAUGGCGAGCUAGAGACCAGGCCGAGAGCCUAACCGGAGCUCCGGUUUUCCAGCCGGAGACCAAGUGCUACCUCUGCCGGGCCGGUAGGGGCUCCUGAAGCCAGCAACCUCUCACCCCCACACGACUUGACCUACACCCACACAACCCA
Long non-coding RNA from Salarias fasciatus (jewelled blenny), 304 nucleotides. RefSeq lists it as uncharacterized. The record is from RefSeq and is a predicted model, not a curated record. The transcript has 3 exons. Lineage: Eukaryota; Metazoa; Chordata; Actinopteri; Blenniiformes; Blenniidae.